Molecule: long non-coding RNA, 1075 nt
Filed under: Marmota monax (woodchuck)
Lineage: Eukaryota; Metazoa; Chordata; Mammalia; Rodentia; Sciuridae
Source: RNAcentral
GGACAUUUUCUCAUAGUUCCAGUGACUUCGAAGUCCAUGAUCAAGGUUCUAGUAGGUUCAGUUGCCUGGUGAGGGCUGCUCUCUGCUUCCAAGAUGGUACCUAGUUGCUGCACCCUGUGGAAGGUAGGAAACUGUGUCUUUACCUGGCAAAGACUGAAGGGCACACUUGAUGAAUGCUAUUUGAGUCCUCUUUUAUAAGGUCCUUAAUGGUCAUUCUCCUCACAUAAAAAAUAAUCCAUUGUUUGACCACUUGCUUACUGCCAACUAGCAGGGCUGGUGACCUAUGCUGGGUUCACAAAAUCUGGCUACAUCAAUAAGUGAGAAAAUGAAGAAGAAAGCACACAAGCACACAGAAAUAUCUUUUCAAAAAUCCAGGAUGGCUCUUGACCUUAGGGGUCUGUUGGAAAUAGAGAGCUUGCAUCUGGAUUCUUUAUUUUUAGGGGGGUCCACACAAAGGAAGGUUCGAUGGAAUGUUCUUUCCAAAGAAGGCAAGGGGUCAGGUUUCAGGGGGUUGAGUCACACCCAUCUCAGGUGUUGUGUGGGAACACAAGCAGAGCGAGAGGAAAGUACACACAUGUGUUGCACAGCCCAAAGAGCACACAACCCCAGGCCAGUCCUCCCAUACACUCAAAUGUGCAUUGCUCCCACACACAGUCCAUGGCUAGCCCGGGACACUUGCUAUUUGCCAAAAACUAGGCUCUCUUAAAUUUACUAGAAUGUAUCAUUAUUGUUUAAUGUGUUUAAUCCAUCUUGCCAGUUAGGUAUUAUUACUAUUCUCAUUUUACAAAUAAGGAAGGCAUCUCUAAAAGUUAAAAAACAAAACAAAUAUAUACCUGAUUGUAAGGUCACCAUUAAGAAGUAGCAGGCCUGAGAUUUGGUGCCAUGCUUUUCUGGGUCCAAAGCAUCACUCUUAAAUAAAAGCAAUAAUGACUACUUAGCUUAUAAAUUCCUUAACUUCCCCUUAGAAGUGAGGAUUCAGUUCCUUUCUGUAGUUCAAUCCAAUAUGUUGAGUAGAGUUUGCAGUAGCAUUAAAAAUAUUCUGCCACAUUUGCCCCAACCACAAAAGACUCCUAAG